AGUGAACGCUGGCGGUAGGCCUAACACAUGCAAGUCGAACGGCAGCACAGUAAGUGCUUGCUCUUACGGGUGGCGAGUGGCGGACGGGUGACGUAUACAACGGAACCUACAUUUGCGUGGGGGAUAACGAAGGGAAACUUACGCUAACACCACAUCCGACCUACCAGGAUAAGCAGGGGAUCUUCGCACCUUCUGCACUAGCAGAUGCCGAUGCCGGGUAUGCUCGUUGGCGGGGUAAAGGCCCACAACGGCGAGGAACCGCAGCGGGGCUGAGAGGGUGAUCGGCAACACUGGAACGGAGACACGGCCCGGACUCCUACGGGAGGAAGCAGUGGGGAAUAUUGGCCAAUGGGGGCAAGCCGGAUCCAGACAGACGGCGUGGGGGAGGAAGUCUUUCGGGUGUUAAAGUCUUUUUGUUGGGAAAGAAAAGCAGCAGGGUAAAACCCCGCUGUUGUGACGGUACCCAAAGAAUAAGCACCGGCUAACUUCGUG
RNAcentral lists this ribosomal RNA (492 nucleotides) under uncultured bacterium. Its description in RNAcentral is "partial 16S ribosomal RNA". It matches the Rfam family "Bacterial small subunit ribosomal RNA", at positions 29 to 507 of the family's 1533-position model. The record is from RNAcentral.